CCUGGGGAUCAUACCAGCACUAAAGCACCGGAUCCCAUCAGAACUCCGAAGUUAAGCGUGCUUGGGCGAGAGUAGUACUAGGAUGGGUGACCUCCUGGGAAGUCCUCGUGUUGCAUUCC
Triticum aestivum (bread wheat) is the source of this 119-nucleotide non-coding RNA. Lineage: Eukaryota; Viridiplantae; Streptophyta; Magnoliopsida; Poales; Poaceae. The record is from Rfam.